This 481-nucleotide ribosomal RNA is filed under the name uncultured bacterium. RNAcentral's name for it is "bacterial SSU rRNA". It matches the Rfam family "Bacterial small subunit ribosomal RNA", at positions 31 to 507 of the family's 1533-position model. The record is from RNAcentral.
GAACGCUGGCGGCAUGCUUUACACAUGCAAGUCGAACGGGUAACAGGGAGCUUGCUCCGCUGACGAGUGGCGAACGGGUGAGUAAUGCAUCGGAACGUACCCAGUCGUGGGGGAUAACGUAGCGAAAGUUACGCUAAUACCGCAUACGUCCUGAGGGAGAAANCGGGGGAUCGCAAGACCUCGCGCGACUGGAGCGGCCGAUAUCAGAUUAGGUAGUUGGUGAGGUAAAGGCUCACCAAGGCGACGAUCUGUAGCGGGUCUGAGAGGAUGAUCCGCCGCACUGGAACUGAGACACGGUCCAGACUCCUACGGGAGGCAGCAGUGGGGAAUUUUGGACAAUGGGGGCAACCCUGAUCCAACAAUGCCGCGUGAGUGAAGAAGGCCUUCGGGUUGUAAAGCUCUUUUGUCAGGGAAGAAACAGCAGCUCUAACACAGUCUGCGAAUGACGGUACCUGAAGAAUAAGCACCGGCUAACUACGUG